AGCCAGGGGCGGGAAUCGAACCCACAACCUUCUGCUUACCGGGCAGGUGCCAUGUCCACUAGGCUACCCUGGA
Non-coding RNA from Cordylochernes scorpioides, 73 nucleotides. The record is from the annotation of a GenBank genome assembly. Lineage: Eukaryota; Metazoa; Arthropoda; Arachnida; Pseudoscorpiones; Chernetidae.